This is an RNA transcript of Poecilia latipinna (sailfin molly), 1548 nucleotides long. It is a transcript of the gene named chemokine (C-C motif) ligand 44, with no coding region annotated. The record is from RefSeq and is a predicted model, not a curated record. NCBI's taxonomy places the organism in Eukaryota, Metazoa, Chordata, Actinopteri, Cyprinodontiformes, Poeciliidae. The transcript is spliced from 4 exons.
GUUGAGCGGGAGGCUGACUGAGGAUGGAUAAACAGAGGGUGGGAGGGAAGGACGGUAAGAGACAGAAAAAGGAGAGGUGGUGAAAGUGAGUGAGUGAGAGAUGGGCAGGGAGGUAUAAAGAGAGGGAGGGAGUUAUCUACAAGAGGCAGCCAUAGAGGGAGAGGUGACAGAGUAGAUUAUCCUCUCCUCCCUGCCAGUCUCACCAUGUUCAUGCUGCAGACGCUGACUGUUCUCUCGCUCACUGUCAUCUUCCUGGCAUCUGUAGAAGGUAAAGGCGUGCAGAUGCAGAGGGAUGUCCAGUGUUGCAUGCUGUACUCCCAGGGUAAGGUGCGUACCAAAGAUGUGCUGCGGUUUGAGGUGCAGACGGAGGGGCCCGACUGCAGCAUACAAGCCAUCAUACUUUACACGAAGAAGGCAGUGAAAUGUGCGGACCCUAGAGAUCGUAAGGUGAAGAGGUUGUUGAGGAAGCUUCUGCAGAGACAGAGACUCAAGAACCACAGAACCAUGUGGCUUCCUCGCGACAACCUGCCCGCCAUGUCAGAGGUCAGGUUUGAAUGACCUUGCAGCUGCUGUUACUCACUAACUACAUCUGUCACCAAAGCCUUACUAUCUUCCUCAUGUGAGACGGCACACUGAGUUAUCAGUGAGGAGCUAAGGAGCCUUAGCUCAUUUUUAUUUAUUUUGUAGAUCAAACUGUUGCACUGAUGUAGAGUUGUUCAAGAAGUACAGAGCUUGUUUUUUAGACUCUAUUUUUGUUGGUCAAACUGCUGUAUUGAGUUAAAAAAUGCUGAAUCCUAUUUUACUAUCUGUUUUUUUUUUGUUUUUUUUUUUUUACUUUAGAAAGAGGCAGAACCAGAAAGAGGUAGCAGUGGAUAAAUAAUCUGGUAGCAGACACAAGCCAGGAGAUUUGUGUCUGCUACCAGACUGUUUAGCUUGAUAGUUGUGAGGCAAAUAAUAAAGUGUUAAGUCCUGGAAUGACAGUCAUUAUGUUGUUAUUAGAGUUACGGGUUACUAAGCAACGUGUUGAUGACGGCAUUGUUUUUAGUAUUUCUGCUCAAGCUAUUUACGGAUCUGUCAGGUUUGUGAUACGUGUCCCCUCAGUGAUGCCCCUGACCGAUACCUGCUUUUCCAUCCAAGCUGCACUUCCCUGCCCUCUCCAGUGCUCUUUCCUACACCGUCACCUCUGACAGAACCUGACCGACUGGUGGUCUUAUGUUGGGUAUCUGUUUCUGUUCACCAGAUCACUGACACAGAAUCUAAAGAUUAGGGUGAUGGGAGGUAGGCAUCUCAACAUUAAAAGCUUAAAGCUCAUCCCAAAAGAUUAAAUGCCACAAAUACCAAUGCAAAAAGCUGGUCAGCAAGUAAAAAAAAUCCCUUCAUUGCUCUAAUUGUUCAUGGAGAGAAUGGCAUAAAUAAUUUGACAUGUUGAUUUUUGUUGAAAUAAAAACAGUGUUACCUCUCAUACAAUGCUUUUUUGCCUUUUGGAGUACUUCUAUCUGAUUUCCAAUGUGAAAAAUCCUUCUUGGUUGAAUGAAAAUAUUUCUUGGG